Molecule: ribosomal RNA, 520 nt
Filed under: Kocuria sp. F31
Lineage: Bacteria; Bacillati; Actinomycetota; Actinomycetes; Micrococcales; Micrococcaceae
Description: bacterial SSU rRNA
Rfam family: Bacterial small subunit ribosomal RNA
Source: RNAcentral
GUCGACGCUGAAGCUUGGUGCUUGCACUGGGUGGAUGAGUGGCGAACGGGUGAGUAAUACGUGAGUAACCUGCCCUUGACUCUGGGAUAAGCCUGGGAAACUGGGUCUAAUACUGGAUACGACAUGUCACCGCAUGGUGGUGUGUGGAAAGGGUUUUACUGGUUUUGGAUGGGCUCACGGCCUAUCAGCUUGUUGGUGGGGUAAUGGCUCACCAAGGCGACGACGGGUAGCCGGCCUGAGAGGGUGACCGGCCACACUGGGACUGAGACACGGCCCAGACUCCUACGGGAGGCAGCAGUGGGGAAUAUUGCACAAUGGGCGAAAGCCUGAUGCAGCGACGCCGCGUGAGGGAUGACGGCCUUCGGGUUGUAAACCUCUUUCAGCACGGAAGAAGCGAAAGUGACGGUACGUGCAGAAGAAGCGCCGGCUAACUACGUGCCAGCAGCCGCGGUAAUACGUAGGGCGCAAGCGUUGUCCGGAAUUAUUGGGCGUAAAGAGCUCGUAGGCGGUUUGUCGCGUC